GCAUGGCUGAACAAGACAAACACAAACUCUAAAGGUCAAGACAUUUUAUCCUCUUAUCCUUUUUUUACUAUGAAUCCAGUACUUCAGAUUCAUAGUUAUAAACUCAAAUCACUAAGAAACGACCCAAAAGCUGAAAGAAAUUAUUUAAGAGAAAUUUCCAUUUAAUCAUCCCCGUUGCCAACAAAUCCUCUCCAAAUUACCAAAUUAGUGUAAGCCCACAAGAACUGCCAGCCACACUACAAGGUCAGCAAUGAAUCCAACCAAAACUCAGAAUCCAAACAAGUUUAGCUAAUCACAAAUAAAGACAUAAGAAAUGUAAAGGUAACAAAACCUAAAGCUUGACAAAUCCCCAGGAAGGUGUUUCCACAUCCUACCUCACAUCUCAGUCCCGUAACCCAAAACAUAUCCUCCAAACACUUCUACAGAGAAACGAAUCAAGAUUGAAUUCUUAUACUUGAAGUUCCUGAUCAAACAAAUACAAAUGAAACUCAUCCAGCCCUGAUUGUAUUAUUAUUCUUUAAUCCUCAACUGUCAAAGUGCUGAAAAGGAAACAAAAUCACAGAUCAAGAUCUGACAGAUUUCAAAAAUCAAGAACAAUAUUCACAUUUAUGGUUUUUAAUCCUCAACCUGAAAAACAAUGAAUACAUGCAGAUCAAAAGAUAGACACGGUAGAUCUCAGUCAUCAAAUAAAUAACUAAAUUCAAAUUGAAUACAUAAGUCAUCAGAUAGCUAGUCACAGAUAAAUAAAAUAUGUGUGGAUGAGAAAACUUAAAUACAAAUGCCAGUCUUUAUGUUUGCUACUGAGGAACAAAUCACAAUUCAAUCCUUAUGUUUGGUGAUCAAGUCGAUAAAAAUUAAAUGAGAAAGAACGUUCAUCGACCGACGAAAGAAGUGCUGCAAAGGAAUGAACACAAACACCAAAUUUCAAAGGCUCCGAAAUCAGAUCGUAGCGAUCAGUCACAAAACUUUCCGGCCCAAAAAUUCAAGAAAUCGGCAGAGUCUUAAUUCAGGACGUACAAAACUAUUUCCAAACACCACUGCAGAUAAAGAGAUCAUAGUUCAAUCCCCAUGUAUAAUGAUCAAUACCAAAAAACAGUAUAUAAUAGAAAGGAGACAAAAAGAAGACUUAGGUUAUGCUGAACCCUUGGCCGUUCUGAACUAUUAUGCUUUUCAUGUUACUUUUCAUAUCAUCCAUAUGCAGAGAACCCGACCAGUUGAAAAGAUGUAAAGAAAUUACGCAAAAAGGUGUCAUCAUCAAUUAAAGAAAUAUUAUCUUGUGUUCUUCAAUCCAACAGAAGGACUGAUAACACUCGUGUUCUUCAAUCCGACAAAAGUCUAUCUAUCGAUACCCAUAUAAUUCCGAAAACCCUGAAAAAACUUGAUCAAAGAAGGGAAACACAGGCCAUACACCACAAUCUAUGGAAUAUACCGAUAUAAUUCUGAAAACCAUGAAAAAACUUGAUCAAGAAGGGAAACACAAGCCAUACACCACAAUCUUCGAAGCAAUACCGAUAUACUAUAAUAAAAUUCAAUCCCUAAAACCAUGAAUGUCAGACAGAAGAUGCAAGAACCAAAUUUGGCACGAGAAGAACCUCAAGGGCAAUGGGGGUAUAUAUAGAAAGGUUGGUCAAAAUUGACAGCUGUGAUUACGCGGUGGAGGAAAUCUGGACGGUUGUGAUACAGUUUCAAGAUUUUCAUCCUU
Molecule: long non-coding RNA, 1702 nt
Filed under: Vigna radiata
Lineage: Eukaryota; Viridiplantae; Streptophyta; Magnoliopsida; Fabales; Fabaceae
Description: long non-coding RNA (VRAD_LNC007453)
Source: RNAcentral